RNAcentral lists this ribosomal RNA (375 nucleotides) under uncultured organism. RNAcentral's name for it is "partial 16S ribosomal RNA". It matches the Rfam family "Bacterial small subunit ribosomal RNA", at positions 527 to 896 of the family's 1533-position model. The record is from RNAcentral.
GUAGGUGGCAAGCGUUGUCCGGAAUUAUUGGGCGUAAAGCGCGCGCAGGCGGGUCCUUUAAGUCUGAUGUGAAAGCCCACGGGCUCAACCGUGGAGGGUCAUUGGAAACUGGGGGACUUGAGUACAGAAGAGGAAAGCGGAAUUCCACGUGUAGCGGUGAAAUGCGUAGAGAUGUGGAGGAACACCUGUGGCGAAGGCGGCUUUCUGGUCUGUAACUGACGCUGAGGCGCGAAAGCGUGGGGAGCAAACAGGAUUAGAUACCCUGGUAGUCCACGCCGUAAACGAUGAGUGCUAAGUGUUAGGGGGGUUUCCGCCCCCUUAGUGCUGCAGCUAACGCAUUAAGCACUCCGCCUGGGGAGUACGGCCGCAAGGCUG